AGGGAGAAGAUAUGCCUGGCCAGCUCCCUGCAAACCCUAGCAACUGCUCAAAUGCCGAGAUGCUAUCAUACAGGCUGGAGGCCCAACACAUCUAGAGACUGCACAAGUUCCAGAAACAAGUGGAAGUAGUCAGAUCCCAGAGGAAGGAGGGGAACUGGAUAGCCACCAGCAAAUGGAGACAUUUGAAGCAGGAAGCAGCCCAGGGAUGGCCACGACUACAGGGUAAUGAUGCCUGACUUGCUCUGUAGUGUACAGGGAAGUCUGGUGAAUGUUACACUUGUUUGGCAGACAGGAAGUGACUGCAUCAUUAACACUAUCCAGAAGCGAGUGGUGAUAAACCCUGGCACGACAACAAAAAGAAUAGCCAGGCGGAGUGACACAGAACUUGUGGAAAACAUCUGCAGUUCACGGAAGAAACCCACAUGACAGAACAAAACAGAACCAGUUCAAAUAAACCUUUUCCUGAGCAGGCUAUAAACAGAAUUUGAGGAUGAAUAUAUUGGCCACAGCAUGGCUGUGAGGUGGUGUGGGCCAUCCACACUGUCCUGCUGCACGGGAUCAUCAACCUGGGCAACGUGGACCCCAUCAUCACCAGCUUUGCCAACAUGGGCUCUCCCACCUGAGGCGGGCACUAUUGACAGCACCCACAUCCCCAUCUGGGCCUCUGCCCACCAGGCAGCCAAACAUAUCAAAUGCUAGGGGCACUUUUCGAUGGUCCUGCAGACUGUCACAGACCAUGAUGAACAUCUGCGUCAGGUGGUCGGGGAAGGCCCCCGAUGCCCGCGUCUUCCGCAACUCCAGCCUCUUCCAGAAGCUGCACGCUGGCAGUUUUUUCCCCAACCACACCAUCAGGAGCAGGGACAUGGCCAUGCUGAUCUGUAUUGUGGGGAACACAGUCUACCCUCUGCUCCCCUGGCUAAUGAAGCCCUACACAGGACACCUGGACCACAGCAGGGGAUGCUUCAAUGCCAAGCUCAGCAUGACCCACAUUGUGUACUAGGCACAGGUGUAAAAUGUCUACCUAUCAAUCAGCAAUCAGCCAGGUUCCAGAGCACAUCAAGAGCAACACAGACAGUAUGUGAUCAUUGAGGCUAUGUCAACCAGAGAAGAUUGCACGGGGGAUGUUUUCCAUCUUGAGUAUUUAUGGAGCCAAUAGCAACGUGAUAUGAACUUGGCCCUAUUGCCAUUGAACUAAAGGGCAAAACUCCUUUUAAGUUUGGUGGGAGAAGGAGCAGGCUAUAUUCUGUUCUUUGUGGAUGGAACCAGUGUAAAAUGUUCAAUACGUAUUGUACCAAAUUCAUCUCUGUUGAAAAGGAACUUAACAAUAGAACACCACUUGUCAUCACCUACAGCUCCCAACUUAAACCUGUCCAACACAUUAUCA
This is a long non-coding RNA of Pelodiscus sinensis (Chinese soft-shelled turtle), 1384 nucleotides long. RefSeq lists it as uncharacterized. The record is from RefSeq and is a predicted model, not a curated record. NCBI's taxonomy places the organism in Eukaryota, Metazoa, Chordata, Testudines, Trionychidae.